This 2908-nucleotide long non-coding RNA is filed under the name Olea europaea subsp. europaea. Lineage: Eukaryota; Viridiplantae; Streptophyta; Magnoliopsida; Lamiales; Oleaceae. The record is from RNAcentral.
CUAACCUUAAAAUUUUAUUCUAUCUCUAGGGAAUUUUUUUCGAACUAGCUGAUAAUGCAAUAUAUUUUAUAUGAUGGACAAGGUCGAGGUAAUUGUGUUCUUUAUACUUGUAAGAUAUUUGUUAAGUUUCGAAAAUAAUUAUAUUUAUCUUUUAUUUUCAUGUUGUAUACUUAGAUGUCAACUAAAAAAGCUUGUAAGAGUUCUAAACAUUGAAGUACUGCAAUUGUCGUAGCAAUUCAAGAGACCAAUAAAAGACUAAGAGUUUCUAGUGAAGCAGAAAAUACUAUAUCUACUCCAAUUAUCUAUGAGCAAAACCCAUCGCCGUCAAAUGCAAGUGCUCCGAAGAAGAAAAGAUGCCCAACUCAAGUGAAAAUGGUUCCUGAACAUAAUUUUAAAAAAAUGGAGCUUGAAUUCAAUGAAUUUGGGCAAGUAGUUGGCAGUAACUCCGAUAAAUUUGCUAGCGUUGUUGGAGCUAUGGUACGAGAACAUGUACUUAUUACAAUUAAAGACUGACAUUCAGCAGAUGAAAAGAAAAAAAUGGAACUUUGGACUUUCAUACAGUACGUUUCUUAACUAACUUUUUACGACUAUUUAUUGUAUCAUUUUCCUUCUUAUUGACGCCAUUCUUUUAAGUUUUAAAAUAUAUUUGUGAACAAAUGCAGCAAAUGUUCGAUGUCAAUGAUUGUCAUAAAAAAAAUGACAUUUCAUUGUAUGGGAAAGUAUUGGAAGACAUUCAAAGUAAGAUUGAGAAAACAAAUCAGAACUGAAAUAGAAACAUCUGUUAAUAGAACACGAUCCAUUGCCCACCUUAGACCAAAGAAUGUAAGUCAUGAAGAAGCAUGGGAAAAAUUUCUCAAAGAUACUCUUUCUGCUGACUUCAAAGUAAGAAAUAUUUGCUUAAUAAUGUUAUAUUUUUAUUUAGUUGUUGUUUCUAUUUUUACUAUUUUGUUUUCUUAAUAGGAAAAAAGUUCCACGUUCAGGAAAAAGAGAACGGAUCAAAAGCUUCCUCACACAUUAGGUCGAAAUGGUUAUUCACUUACAACUCUUGAAAUAGUACAAUUACACACCUAUCUUGUCUGGUUAGGAAUGAAGUUUCAUUUCUUCUAAGUUAUAGGUAUUACACACCAUUGUUGAUUUCCUUCAAGUAGUCAUUACGUAAGUACUAAAUUUAUAUUGUAGAGAAAAAAGAAUCCGGAUUUAAAGGGGUUAAGAACUAUAGUAUAGAUGCAUGGCCAUCUUAGAAAGGAUGGUACACCAAUAAAUAAAGCAGUUGCCGCAACUUUGGUACAUGUAUUCUUUCAAUAUAUAUGAUUUAUUAUACAUAUUCAAAGCUAGUAUCUAAUCUGAGUUCCGUAAGUGCAAAAAAGGAUAGAAUAUUGUGUCCAAUCAAUUUCUGAUAGACGAGCAGAAAAUUCCAUCCGCGAUGAUGCUAUUGCUCGAGUUUUUAGUCCUGAACAUCGUGGAAGAGCUAGAGGAUUUGGGUUUGGAGUUGCACCAUCGAAAGUGGAUGGACAAAUUCAAAGUAAUGGGAGAGUGAGAGAACUUGAAGGAAAGGUUGGAGCGCUAGAAGAAAAGGUUGAAGCACUUCUUCAAUUAUCUCAGCAAGUUAUAAACUUUUAUCAUUAUACAUAUACAAUGAUAAUAUAACUUCGUGUAACUCAAUAUGGAGAAUAAAUUUUUAAUUUUUGUAUAAUUUACAGAAUCAAAACAAGAAUGUAGACGACAUGAGUUCACGUGCUUUUACUCAGAUUUUUGUAUCUAAGAAAUUAUUUUGUAUUCACCAUAAACAUAGAAUAUAGCAUACUAAUUUACUUUAAUUUGAUUUUGUAGUCACAACAAGGAAGUGGUAUCCACGGAGGGAUUGCACAUACGAAAAAUGAAAGGUGUCAACUGUUGCAUUGGUACACAUUAGAAGAGGAAGAAAUUGUAGCUAAAGGAAGGAUUGCAUCGAUAGACCCAAGUGCAAAGGUCCAUCACGUACCAAUCGGACGAGAUUGUUGGAAGGUGUGGGUUGAGGAAGUGUAUAUGGGCCAUUUGAACUUAUAUAGACUUAUUGAUGAAUUUCGAGUGCUUAGUGAAGCCAUAGGAAGUACAAUUGCUUGGCCAAAGAGCAGUAUUGGACUUAUUUGACAAGGUAUGUAAUGCAUUUAUGCACUUUUGUAUUUCUGUGUGUAAUAUCUGUGCAUACUAGGAAAAAAUGGUUUGAUAGAUGAAAAUUUCCUAUGUGGUAUUGUUUAUUCAUUAAGAACUGAUCUACUACUGGCAAAAUUCAAGUAUAGCAUCGAUUUUAUAAUCACCUAUCAUAAUCAUGAAGCACAUAUCCUUUUUUUCUUCUAAAUUGAGUAAGCCCUACCUUUGCAUCUCCAUGCAGCAAGAAUAGAUAAUAUGAUCAUGACUGGAAUUUAUAUAUGGUACAGUUGGUUGCUUUUGUAUGUGGAAUAAUUCAUCUCAAGACUCAAUCCUCGUCAAAAAAAAAAAAAAAACUUUAUGAAGGUCCUGGAAUUUUAGCAUGUAAGACAAUUUUACAUUUUCUGUGUUAAUGUCUAUGAAAUUCGAUUAUUUUCCUUCGAAAUGAUUAAAUUUGAUAUAAUUUACAGAAUCUAAUAGAAUAUAUGAUGGUGUUGGUGAAUUGUUUCAGGGAUGAAAGUGGUUGGUGAAUGCUAGCUCCCGGCUUUCUUUUUUGUAGAACUUGGUGAAAGGCAUUUGUAAAGUUUCCAAACUCGACUAAUCAAUUAUCACAUAGCUAAGCUAGAAAUUCAUGACCUUAUUUUGUAACUAGGAUUUAAGUCUUCUACAACUCAUAUCAUAUCCAUAUUUUGUAAUUGUGAGAUGAAUUACAAUAGUUAUCGUUAUGGCAAUGUGUGGGUUUUAUGUUUAUUUUUAUGGAGUAAUGAAAUUAUUAUCAAAU